Molecule: small RNA, 189 nt
Filed under: Serratia marcescens
Lineage: Bacteria; Pseudomonadati; Pseudomonadota; Gammaproteobacteria; Enterobacterales; Yersiniaceae
Description: RtT sRNA
Rfam family: RtT RNA (bases 102-189)
Source: RNAcentral
AGCGGCCAAAGGGAGCAGACUGUAAAUCUGCCGUCAUCGACUUCGAAGGUUCGAAUCCUUCCCCCACCACCAUCUUCUCGUUGCUGAUACGCAUUGAGUUAAAGCGAAUCAGAAAGGGAAGGAUAACGUGCUUUAGCGCGGCCCGAAGGGUGAGGAACGAAGUGACGAAUAAUCCUUCCCCCACCACCA